This 210-nucleotide unclassified non-coding RNA is filed under the name Hevea brasiliensis (rubber tree). The record is from RNAcentral. Lineage: Eukaryota; Viridiplantae; Streptophyta; Magnoliopsida; Malpighiales; Euphorbiaceae.
CGCAACGCCCGCGCGUGCGAAGGUCUGAGCAAGCUCAGCUCCAAUGUAGCCGCCGCCGAGCACAAUCAUCGAGCGCGGUAGCUCCUUCAGCGACAACGCCGUCGUGCUGUCGAGAGGCGCGAUCUCUGCGAUGCCUGGGAUGGUGGGUAGCGCAGGCCGCGCGCCCGUCGCAAUGAUGAUGCGAUCUGAGACGAGGCGCUGACCGUCCAC